RNAcentral lists this ribosomal RNA (51 nucleotides) under Trebouxia sp. P-28-Ia. RNAcentral's name for it is "partial 26S ribosomal RNA". Lineage: Eukaryota; Viridiplantae; Chlorophyta; Trebouxiophyceae; Trebouxiales; Trebouxiaceae. The record is from RNAcentral.
UCGACCUGAGGUCAGGCAAGAACACCCGCUGAACUUAAGCAUAUCAAUAAC